RNAcentral lists this ribosomal RNA (466 nucleotides) under uncultured bacterium. RNAcentral describes it as "bacterial SSU rRNA". It matches the Rfam family "Bacterial small subunit ribosomal RNA", at positions 338 to 795 of the family's 1533-position model. The record is from RNAcentral.
CCUACGGGGGGCAGCAGUGGGGAAUAAUGCACAAUGGGCGCAAGCCUGAUGCAGCCAUGCCGCGUGUGUGAAGAAGGCCUUCGGGUUGUAAAGCACUUUCAGCGGGGAGGAAGGCGAUAAGGUUAAUAACCUUGUCGAUUGACGUUACCCGCAGAAGAAGCACCGGCUAACUCCGUGCCAGCAGCAGCGGUAAUUCGGAGGGUGCAAGCGUUAAUCGGAAUUACUGGGCGUAAAGCGCACGCAGGUGGUCUGUCAAGUCGGAUGUGAAAUCCCCGGGCUCAACCUGGGAACUGCAUUCGAAACUGGCAGGCUAGAGUCUUGUAGAGGGGGGUAGAAUUCCAGGUGUAGCGGUGAAAUGCGUAGAGAUCUGGAGGAAUACCGGUGGCGAAGGCAGGCCCCCUGGACAAAGACUGACGCUCAGGUGCGAAAGCGUGGGGAGCAAACAGGAUUAGAUACCCCGGUAGUC